AAUAUAUUUCCCUCCAUUAAUUUUGCAAAGCUCCUAAAUAUAUUUUUAUCCCUAAAUAUAUUCUCUCAUUAAAAAAUCUAAAAGAAAAAAGACUUGUUUUCCAAAACCUUCACCGAUGUGAGCAUACUCCACAAACAACGUUAACGAAGCCCUAUUCCAUAGAUUUUCAAUCAAAGCAGCUCUUGGACAGCAAAGCUCUGCGACAAUGAAGCAUUUGGUGAGGAAAACAACAACGAACAAUUUCGAAGCUUUUGGUAAAGCUCGUUGGUCCUCUUGGAUACCGAGGUUUGACUACAAAAUCUUCCAUAUAAACGUGUACUUAUUGCAAACCCAUUAACAGUGUGCUUUUCAAUUUGUGCAAAAUCACUACUGAUUGGAUAACCAUCGUCGUCAAGGACCCGGUAACAUUGUACUCUCUCCUUCCUUUGUUUCAGGAAUAAAGUUUAAAUGUGAGGUGAAUUUGACCUCGCCUCCAGGGAAAUCGAGGACUUAGGAAUCAUUAUGAAUAUUGUGCAUGAGAUUUAACUGUGUUUGAGCUUUAUUUGAGUCAAAACGGAAAUAAGCUGGUGUGUUCUCUUAUUUAUUAUAUAGUAUUAACAUGGCAUUUAAACUAUUUUUUAUAUACAUUUCAAUGUGACUAGGAGAAAAAUAAGGAGACAGUAUCAUUUAAGGAUCUGUUGUGGUUACACGAACAAGAAAAUUCGGGCGUUUGUACAAGGCUUCGAAUGAAGAUACUACUAGUAAAACUGCUGAAAUGGAGGAAAUUGAAAAACAAAUGCAACAACUUAUUGAAUACAAGAAAUGUAAGAAAAGGAUGCUAUUAAA
This is an RNA transcript of Solanum pennellii, 825 nucleotides long. RefSeq lists it as uncharacterized. NCBI's taxonomy places the organism in Eukaryota, Viridiplantae, Streptophyta, Magnoliopsida, Solanales, Solanaceae. The transcript has 3 exons. The record is from RefSeq and is a predicted model, not a curated record.